This 468-nucleotide ribosomal RNA is filed under the name uncultured bacterium. Its description in RNAcentral is "partial 16S ribosomal RNA". It matches the Rfam family "Bacterial small subunit ribosomal RNA", at positions 28 to 507 of the family's 1533-position model. The record is from RNAcentral.
GACGAACGCUGGCGGCGUGCUUAACACAUGCAAGUCGAACGGAAAGGCCCUGCUUUUGUGGGGUGCUCGAGUGGCGAACGGGUGAGUAACACGUGUGUAACCUGCCCUUGACUUUGGGAUAACUUCAGGAAACUGGGGCUAAUACCGGAUAGGAGCUCCUGCUGCAUGGUGGGGGUUGGAAAGUUUCGGCGGUUGGGGAUGGACUCGCGGCUUAUCAGCUUGUUGGUGGGGUAGUGGCUUACCAAGGCUUUGACGGGUAGCCGGCCUGAGAGGGUGACCGGCCACAUUGGGACUGAGAUACGGCCCAGUCUCCUACGGGAGGCAACAGUGGGGAAUAUUGCACAGUGGGCGGAAGCCUGAUGCAGCAACGCCGCGUGCGGGAUGACGGCCUUCGGGUUGUGAACCGCUUUCGCCUGUGACGAAGCGUGAGUGACGGUAAUGAGUAAAGAAGCACCGGCUAACUACGUG